This 743-nucleotide unclassified non-coding RNA is filed under the name Hevea brasiliensis (rubber tree). The record is from RNAcentral. Lineage: Eukaryota; Viridiplantae; Streptophyta; Magnoliopsida; Malpighiales; Euphorbiaceae.
GUUCAAGGGCAGUGUUGAAGUGUUACCGGUGUAGGGGACCGCACAAAAAGCGGGACUGUCCGAAGAAGGCAGUGUUCUUGGCCAAGGGAGAAGAGCCGGGAAAAACUUCUGCACCACUGGAGCCAGCAAGUGAGGGAAGCUUGCCGUGUUGUUCAUUUGGGGCCAUGAGUUUGGUCGGACCGAGUGAAGCUCCUAGUGGGGGUGCAGUGGAUAUUUGUGGGACUCGAGAGCAGUCCGAAUUGCCGAAGAAGCUGCCACCCGAGGGAGAGGUGGGCUGUGUUAGUGAGCCAGCAGCCGGAUGUCCAAGUGAAGUGGAAUUGCCGAAGCAAGAGAGGCCGAGGCAACCUCGCUCGAGGAAGAGGAGGAAUAGGUGCAAAGCCAAGAGAGUGGCGCAGUCACCUAGCCACACGGACGAGGAAGGUGUUGGAACACAGCAGAAGGCCGAUGGCAAUGGGUCGCAUGGACAGGAGAGAGGUCCUAGGCGACGAGGGAGAUUCCGAGGGAAUUUCGACCGGGGAGGUCAUUUAUGGCAAUUGACCGAACGGGUGUGUCAGUUGGCCAGUUUGGUAGCAAACGGGCUGAAAUUGCUGGAUAAGAAGCAAGCCGAUCGGAGAGAGAAGAUUGGUAAGCCGGGAAUUGCUACGGGCUCAAGGGGCAAGAAAGGAGGUUCACAGCCGCAGUGGAGGCGGUGUGAAGCAUCAGUGAAGAGCCGACAACUCGAGGCAACGGGGGCGUUGCCGAGU